CAGGCCAUGCCCCCUUCCCCCUUCCAGUGUCCUCUCUCCGCUUGCUCGGCUCCAACCCCACUCUUUCUGUCUCUCAGGUUCAACUAGUUUUAAGGAGAGGAGAUACAAUUGCCAGCAGCUGAAGGAGAGGAGUAUCUCCCAGUAUUUUAUCUGCUGAUAAGACAGACACUUCCUUUGAAAAUGGAUUUAUUAAUUCCACAAAGAUUCACUGACUUCUGUGAAGAUCAGCGUAUUUCCAUUUCCAAGCUCUCCUGAGAACGUGAGACAACAUGGUGCCUCCACAGCAUGGUGCAGUAGUAAAGAGAAUAUGUCUUCAUCUUCGAGAUUAUGGACAGGCAGAAUUCCCUUGCUAUUAUCGCCACAUAUGCAGUUAUGGCCUUCACUGAAAUCUUGAAGCCCUCACAGUCAUCCAUGAAGUUUGGAAUCAACGUCUACCAAACUCCUGGAACAGAAGUCAUAACACACACUGAAAUAGAGUGUCACACUUGUCAGCAGCAGAUAAAGUAAUGUAUCAUCUGAUGCUUUCUCUCUCUUCUGUGGCACCAACAAAGGCAGACCCGCCAUCGGAGGAAAGCAUUACUCCCAUCUGGGUUUUAAUGCAGAAAUAACACAUAGCUGACUUAGUCUAGGCUCCCUUGAUUAAAGUUAGAAUAUCCAAAGUAAAAGUUUCACUUACCAAGAGUCCUCUCUAUCCAAAGCGUGUCACAGAUCUAUUUGAAAUAGAUAAUGUGUUAGCUCCAGAUUUUCUCAGCACGAUGUUUCUGCUCACUUCGUUCCUGAGUAUAUAGAAAUUGGUAGUUGGCAAAGUCACCUGAAAUAAAGAAGAAUCAAGUUUU
This is a long non-coding RNA of Suricata suricatta (meerkat), 836 nucleotides long. RefSeq lists it as uncharacterized. The record is from RefSeq and is a predicted model, not a curated record. The transcript is spliced from 5 exons. Lineage: Eukaryota; Metazoa; Chordata; Mammalia; Carnivora; Herpestidae.